This 1370-nucleotide ribosomal RNA is filed under the name uncultured organism. RNAcentral's name for it is "16S ribosomal RNA". It matches the Rfam family "Bacterial small subunit ribosomal RNA", at positions 96 to 1434 of the family's 1533-position model. The record is from RNAcentral.
UGGCGAACGGGUGAGUAACGUGUAUGUAAUUUGCCUACGAGUGGGGAAUAGGUCCGGGAAACCGGAAUUAAUACCGCAUAACGUCAUGCUCCGAUGGGAGUGUGAUCAAAGGUGGGGACCUUCGGGCCCAUCGCUUGUAGAUAAGCCUGCAUACUGAUUAGUUAGUUGGUAGGGUAACGGCCUACCAAGACCGCGAUCAGUAGCUGUACUAAGAGGAAGAUCAGCCACAUUGGGACUGAGAUACGGCCCAGACUCCUACGGGAGGCAGCAGUGAGGAAUUUUGCGCAAUGGGAGAGAUCCUGACGCAGCAACGCCGCGUGAACGAUUGAAGCUUAUAGGAGUGUAAAGGUCUGUCGUGAGGGAAGAAAAAGACCGAGAAUAAUAAGUUCGGUAAUUGACGGUACCUCACAAGCAAGCUCCGGCUAACUUCGUGCCAGCAGACGCGGUAAUACGAGGGGAGCAAGCGUUGUCCGAAAUAACUGGGCGUAAAGGGUACGUAGGCUUUUUGGUAGGUUUCCGGUGAAUUCACAGGCUCAACUUGUGACUUGCCGGGAAAACUGCAGAGAUUGAAUCCGGAAGGGGAAAGCGGAAUUCCUGGUGUAGCGGUGAAAUGCGUAGAUAUCAGGAGGAACACCAGUGGCGAAGGCGGCUUUCUGGUCCGGAAUUGACGCUGAGGUACUAAAGCGUGGGUAGCAAACAGGAUUAGAUACCCUGGUAGUCCACGCCCUAAACGAUGGAUACUUGAUGUCGGGAUGUUCGGUCGUCUCGGUGUCGUAGCUAACGUGUUAAGUAUCCCGCCUGGGGACUACGGUCGCAAGACUGAAACUCAAAGGAAUUGACGGGGGCCCGCACCAGCGGUGGAACAUGUGGUUUAAUUCGACGCAACGCGAAGAACCUUACCUGGGCUUGACAUAUAUAUGAAGUAUGUAAGAAAUUAUGUAUUCUGUCUGCUUUUGCAGGUAGCAUAUAUACAGGUGAUGCAUGGCUGUCGUCAGCUCGUGUCGUGAGAUGUAGGGUUAAGUCCCUUAACGAGCGCAACCCUUGCUUUUAGUUGCCAUCAGGUAAUGCUGGGGACUCUAGAAGGACUGCCGAGGUUAACUCGGAGGAAGGUGGGGAUGACGUCAAGUCAGUAUGUCCCUUAUGUCCAGGGCUACACACGUGUUACAAUGGACGGUACAGAGUGCAGCUACGCCGUGAGGCUACGCAAAUCACUUAAAGCCGUUCCCAGUUCGGAUUGGAGUCUGCAAUUCGACUCCAUGAAGUUGGAAUCGCUAGUAAUCGCAGAACAGCAUGCUGCGGUGAUACGUUCCCGGGCCUUGUACACACCGCCCGUCACGCCAUGGAAGUUGGGAGUACCCAAAGUUGCUGUC